GAUGAACGCUGGCGGCGUGCUUAACACAUGCAAGUCGAACGGACAAAGAUGAAACCUAGUGAUUCUUGUUAGUGGCGGACGGGUGAGUAACGCGUGGGUAACCUGCCGUAUACAGGGGGACAACAGUUGGAAACGACUGCUAAUACCGCAUAAGCGCACAGGACCGCAUGGUCUGGUGUGAAAAACUCCGGUGGUAUACGAUGGACCCGCGUCUGAUUAGCUAGUUGGUGAGGUAACGGCCCACCAAGGCGACGAUCAGUAGCCGGCCUGAGAGGGUGAACGGCCACAUUGGGACUGAGACACGGUCCAGACUCCUACGGGAGGCAGCAGUGAGGAAUACUGGUCAAUGGGCGCGAGCCUGAACCAGCCAAGUAGCGUGAAGGAUGACUGCCCUACGGGUUGUAAACUUCUUUUGUUUGGGAAUAAAUGAUACUACGUGUAGUAUUUUGCAUGUACCUUACGAAUAAGCAUCGGCUAAUUCCGUG
This 485-nucleotide ribosomal RNA is filed under the name uncultured bacterium. RNAcentral's name for it is "bacterial SSU rRNA". It matches the Rfam family "Bacterial small subunit ribosomal RNA", at positions 28 to 507 of the family's 1533-position model. The record is from RNAcentral.